AGCCCGGAUGGUGGAAUCGGUAGACACAAGGGAUUUAAAAUCCCUCGGCGUUCGCGCUGUGCGGGUUCAAGUCCCGCUCCGGGUACC
This 87-nucleotide transfer RNA is filed under the name Escherichia coli. RNAcentral describes it as "tRNA-Leu". It matches the Rfam family "tRNA". Rfam says of the family: Transfer RNA (tRNA) molecules are approximately 80 nucleotides in length. Their secondary structure includes four short double-helical elements and three loops (D, anti-codon, and T loops). RNAcentral also lists the same sequence under 2 other names. Lineage: Bacteria; Pseudomonadati; Pseudomonadota; Gammaproteobacteria; Enterobacterales; Enterobacteriaceae. The record is from RNAcentral.